RNAcentral lists this ribosomal RNA (253 nucleotides) under uncultured bacterium. RNAcentral's name for it is "partial 16S ribosomal RNA". It matches the Rfam family "Bacterial small subunit ribosomal RNA", at positions 524 to 776 of the family's 1533-position model. The record is from RNAcentral. RNAcentral also lists the same sequence under 1 other name.
UACGGAGGGGGCGAGCGUUAUUCGGAAUUAUUGGGCGUAAAGGGCGCGUAGGCGGCUUGGUAAGUCAAAGGUGAAAUCCCUCGGCUCAACUGAGGAAUUGCCUUUGAAACUGCCUGGCUCGAGGCCGGGAGGGGGUAGCGGAAUUCCCAGUGUAGCGGUGAAAUGCGUAGAUAUUGGGAGGAACACCGGUGGCGAAGGCGGCUACCUGGACCGGUUCUGACGCUGAUGCGCGAAAGCGUGGGGAGCAAACAGG